AAGCGUGGUGAGCAAACAGGAUUAGAUACCCUGGUAGUCCACGCCCUAAACGAUGCGAACUGGAUGUUGGUCUCAACUCGGAGAUCAGUGUCGAAGCUAACGCGUUAAGUUCGCCGCCUGGGGAGUACGGUCGCAAGACUGAACUCAAAGGAAUGACGGGGGCCCGCACAAGCGGUGGAGUAUGUGGUUUAAUUCGAUGCAACGCGAAGAACCUUACCUGGCCUUGACAUGUCUGGAAUCCUGCAGAGAUGCGGGAGUGCCUUCGGGAAUCAGAACACAGGUGCUGCAUGGCUGUCGUCAGCUCGUGUCGUGAGAUGUUGGGUUAAGUCCCGCAACGAGCGCAACCCUUGUCCUUAGUUGCCAGCACGUAAUGGUGGGAACUCUAAGGAGACUGCCGGUGACAAACCGGAGGAAGGUGGGGAUGACGUCAAGUCCUCAUGGCCCUUACGGCCAGGGCUACACACGUACUACAAUGGUCGGUACAGAGGGUUGCAAUACCGCGAGGUGGAGCCAAUCCCAGAAAGCCGAUCCCAGUCCGGAUCGGAGUCUGCAACUCGACUCCGUGAAGUCGGAAUCGCUAGUAAUCGCGGAUCAGCUAUGCCGCGGUGAAUACGUUCCCGGGCCUUGUACACACCGCCCGUCACACCAUGGGAGUGAGUUGCUCC
Molecule: ribosomal RNA, 665 nt
Filed under: Lysobacteraceae bacterium
Lineage: Bacteria; Pseudomonadati; Pseudomonadota; Gammaproteobacteria; Lysobacterales; Lysobacteraceae
Description: bacterial SSU rRNA
Rfam family: Bacterial small subunit ribosomal RNA
Source: RNAcentral